Molecule: ribosomal RNA, 438 nt
Filed under: uncultured bacterium
Lineage: Bacteria
Description: partial 16S ribosomal RNA
Rfam family: Bacterial small subunit ribosomal RNA
Source: RNAcentral
CUACGGGAUGCAGCAGUGGGGAAUAUUGGACAAUGGGGGCAACCCUGAUCCAGCAAUGCCGCGUGAAUGAUGAAGGCCUUAGGGUUGUAAAGUUCUUUUAUCGAUGACGAUAAUGACGGUAGUCGAUGAAUAAGCACCGGCUAACUUCGUGCCAGCAGCCGCGGUAAUACGAAGGGUGCUAGCGUUGUUCGGAAUGACUGGGCGUAAAGGGCGCGUAGGCGGUCAGAUGCGUCUGAUGUGAAAUCCCUGGGCUUAACCUAGGAACUGCAUUGGAUACGGUCUGGCUGGAGUCCGCGAGAGGAAGAUGGAAUUGUGCGUGUAGAGGUGAAAUUCGUAGAUAUGCACAAGAACACCGGUGGCGAAGGCGAUCUUCUGGAGCGGUACUGACGCUAAGGCGCGAAAGCGUGGGGAGCAAACAGGAUUAGAACCCCCGUAGUC